RNAcentral lists this unclassified non-coding RNA (219 nucleotides) under uncultured fungus. RNAcentral describes it as "sequence contains ITS1". The stretch from base 1 to 105 matches the Rfam family "5.8S ribosomal RNA", at positions 50 to 154 of the family's 154-position model. Lineage: Eukaryota; Fungi. The record is from RNAcentral.
GAAAUGCGAUAAGUAGUGUGAAUUGCAGAAUUCAGUGAAUCAUCGAAUCUUUGAACGCACAUUGCGCCCUCUGGUAUUCCGGGGGGCAUGCCUGUUCGAGCGUCAUUACAACCCUCAAGCUUUGCUUGGUAUUGGAAAGGUUGUGGAGUUCGGCCUGAACAACACCUUCAAUUUCUAAGGUUUGACCUCAGAUCAGACAAGGAUACCCGCUGAACUUAA